RNAcentral lists this ribosomal RNA (164 nucleotides) under uncultured bacterium. RNAcentral's name for it is "partial 16S rRNA". It matches the Rfam family "Bacterial small subunit ribosomal RNA", at positions 355 to 511 of the family's 1533-position model. The record is from RNAcentral.
UGGGGAAUAUUGGACAAUGGGCGAAAGCCUGAUCCAGCCAUGCCGCGUGUGUGAAGAAGGUCUUCGGAUUGUAAAGCACUUUAAGUUGGGAGGAAGGGCAGUAAGCUAAUACCUUGCUGUUUUGACGUUACCGACGGAAUAAGCACCGGCUAACUCUGUGCCAG